RNAcentral lists this ribosomal RNA (445 nucleotides) under uncultured bacterium. RNAcentral's name for it is "SSU rRNA". It matches the Rfam family "Bacterial small subunit ribosomal RNA", at positions 26 to 518 of the family's 1533-position model. The record is from RNAcentral.
AGAACGAACGCUGGCGGCAGGCUUAACACAUGCAAGUCGAGCGCCCCGCAAGGGGAGCGGCAGACGGGUGAGUAACGCGUGGGAAUCUACCCAGAACUACGGAAUAGCUUCGGGAAACUGGAAUUAAUACCGUAUACGCCCUACGGGGGAAAGAUUUAUCGGUUCUGGAUGAGCCCGCGUUGGAUUAGCUAGUUGGUGGGGUAAUGGCCUACCAAGGCGACGAUCCAUAGCUGGUCUGAGAGGAUGAUCAGCCACACUGGGACUGAGACACGGCCCAGACUCCUACGGGAGGCAGCAGUGGGGAAUAUUGGACAAUGGGCGAAAGCCUGAUCCAGCCAUGCCGCGUGAGUGAUGAAGGCCUUAGGGUUGUAAAGCUCUUUCAGUGGGGAAGAUAAUGACGGUACCCACAGAAGAACGCCCCGGCUAACUUCGCGCCAGCAGCCGC